GUACCCCGAGGAAAAGAAAUCAACCGAGAUUCCGAAAGUAGCGGCGAGCGAAAUUGGACUAGCCCUUAAGCUUUACACGUGUUAGACGAACGGUCUGGAAAGUCCGACGAUACAGGGUGAUAGUCCCGUAGUUGACGACGUGUGUUCAGUGAAAUCGAGUAGGGCGGGACACGUGAUAUCCUGUCUGAAUAUGGGGGGACCAUCCUCCAAGGCUAAAUACUACUGACUGACCGAUAGUGAACCAGUACCGUGAGGGAAAGGCGAAAAGAACCCCUGUGAGGGGAGUGAAAUAGAACCUGAAACCGUGUACGUACAAGCAGUAGGAGCAGGCUUUGUCCUGUGACUGCGUACCUUUUGUAUAAUGGGUCAGCGACUUUAUAUUCAGUGGCAAGGUUAACCAUCUAGGGGAGCCGUAGGGAAACCGAGUCUUAACUGGGCGUUCAGUCUCUGGAUAUAGACCCGAAACCAGGUGAUCUAGCCAUGGGCAGGUUGAAGGUUGAGUAACAUCAACUGGAGGACCGAACCGACUAAUGUUGAAAAAUUAGCGGAUGACUUGUGGCUAGGGGUGAAAGGCCAAUCAAACCUGGAGAUAGCUGGUUCUCCCCGAAAGCUAUUUAGGUAGCGCCUCGGACGAAUACUACUGGGGGUAGAGCACUGUUAAGGCUAGGGGGUCAUCCCGACUUACCAACCCUUUGCAAACUCCGAAUACCAGUAAGUACUAUCCGGGAGACACACGGCGGGUGCUAACGUCCGUCGUGGAGAGGGAAACAACCCAGACCGCCAGCUAAGGUCCCAAAUUACUACUAAGUGGGAAACGAUGUGGGAAGGCUCAGACAGCCAGGAUGUUGGCUUAGAAGCAGCCAUCAUUUAAAGAAAGCGUAAUAGCUCACUGGUCGAGUCGGCCUGCGCGGAAGAUGUAACGGGGCUAAGUAGUAAACCGAAGCUGCGGCAAUGUGCUUUUGCACAUUGGGUAGGGGAGCGUUCUGUAAGCGGUUGAAGGUGUGUGGUAACGCAUGCUGGACGUAUCAGAAGUGCGAAUGCUGACAUGAGUAACGAUAAAGGGGGUGAAAAACCUCCUCGCCGGAAGACCAAGGGUUCCUGUCCAACGUUAAUCGGGGCAGGGUAAGUCGACCCCUAAGGCGAGGCCGAAAGGCGUAGUCGAUGGGAAACGGGUUAAUAUUCCCGUACUUCUUACAAUUGCGAUGGGGGGACGGAGAAGGCUAGGUGGGCCUGGCGACGGUUGUCCAGGUUCAAGUGCGUAGGCUUGAGAGUUAGGUAAAUCCGGCUCUUUUUAAGGCUGAGACACGACGUCGAGCACCUACGGGUGUGAAGUCAUUGAUGCCAUGCUUCCAGGAAAAGCCUCUAAGCUUCAGAUUGUAAGGAAUCGUACCCCAAACCGACACAGGUGGUCGGGUAGAGAAUACCAAGGCGCUUGAGAGAACUCGGGUGAAGGAACUAGGCAAAAUGGUACCGUAACUUCGGGAGAAGGUACGCUCUCGACGGUGAAGUCCCUCGCGGAUGGAGCUAUUGAGAGUCGCAGAUACCAGGUGGCUGCAACUGUUUAUUAAAAACACAGCACUGUGCAAAAUCGUAAGAUGACGUAUACGGUGUGACGCCUGCCCGGUGCCGGAAGGUUAAUUGAUGGGGUUAGACUUCGGUCGAAGCUCUUGAUCGAAGCCCCGGUAAACGGCGGCCGUAACUAUAACGGUCCUAAGGUAGCGAAAUUCCUUGUCGGGUAAGUUCCGACCUGCACGAAUGGCGUAAUGAUGGCCACGCUGUCUCCACCCGAGACUCAGUGAAAUUGAAAUCGCUGUGAAGAUGCAGUGUACCCGCGGCUAGACGGAAAGACCCCGUGAACCUUUACUACAGCUUGGCACUGAACAUUGACCCUACAUGUGUAGGAUAGGUGGGAGGCUUUGAAGCACGUACGCCAGUAUGUGUGGAGCCGUCCUUGAAAUACCACCCUUGUAGUGUUGAUGUUCUAACGUCGACCCCUUAUCGGGGUUGCGGACAGUGCCUGGUGGGUAGUUUGACUGGGGCGGUCUCCUCCCAAAGAGUAACGGAGGAGCACGAAGGUGGGCUAAUCACGGUUGGACAUCGUGAGGUUAGUGCAAUGGCAUAAGCCCGCUUGACUGCGAGAAUGACAAUUCGAGCAGGUGCGAAAGCAGGUCAUAGUGAUCCGGUGGUUCUGAAUGGAAGGGCCAUCGCUCAACGGAUAAAAGGUACUCCGGGGAUAACAGGCUGAUACCGCCCAAGAGUUCAUAUCGACGGCGGUGUUUGGCACCUCGAUGUCGGCUCAUCACAUCCUGGGGCUGAAGUCGGUCCCAAGGGUAUGGCUGUUCGCCAUUUAAAGUGGUACGCGAGCUGGGUUUAGAACGUCGUGAGACAGUUCGGUCCCUAUCUGCCGUGGGCGUUGGAAGAUUGAAGGGGGCUGCUCCUAGUACGAGAGGACCGGAGUGGACGAACCUCUGGUGUUCGGGUUGUGUCGCCAGACGCAUUGCCCGGUAGCUAAGUUCGGAAUCGAUAACCGCUGAAAGCAUCUAAGCGGGAAGCGAGCCCUGAGAUGAGUCUUCCCUGAUACUUUAAGUAUCCUAAAGGGUUGUCGGAGACUACGACGUUGAUAGGUCAGGUGUGUAAGUGCUGUGAGGCAUUGAGCUAACUGAUACUAAUUGCCCGUGAGGCUUAACCAUACAACACCUAAGGGGUUU
This 2708-nucleotide ribosomal RNA is filed under the name Vibrio parahaemolyticus. RNAcentral's name for it is "bacterial LSU rRNA". It matches the Rfam family "Bacterial large subunit ribosomal RNA". Lineage: Bacteria; Pseudomonadati; Pseudomonadota; Gammaproteobacteria; Vibrionales; Vibrionaceae. The record is from RNAcentral.